UACGGAGGGGGCUAGCGUUGUUCGGAAUUACUGGGCGUAAAGCGCACGUAGGCGGUCUUUUAAGUCAGAGGUGAAAGCCCGGGGCUCAACUCCGGAAUUGCCUUUGAAACUGGAAGACUUGAACACGGGAGAGGUGAGUGGAAUUCCGAGUGUAGAGGUGAAAUUCGUAGAUAUUCGGGGGAACACCAGUGGCGAAGGCGGCUCACUGGACCGUAGUUGACGCUGAGGUGCGAAAGCGUGGGGAGCAAAC
Molecule: ribosomal RNA, 250 nt
Filed under: uncultured Sandaracinobacter sp.
Lineage: Bacteria; Pseudomonadati; Pseudomonadota; Alphaproteobacteria; Sphingomonadales; Sphingosinicellaceae
Description: partial 16S ribosomal RNA
Rfam family: Bacterial small subunit ribosomal RNA
Source: RNAcentral